Molecule: ribosomal RNA, 431 nt
Filed under: uncultured bacterium
Lineage: Bacteria
Description: bacterial SSU rRNA
Rfam family: Bacterial small subunit ribosomal RNA
Source: RNAcentral
AACGAACGCUGGCGGCAGGCUUAACACAUGCAAGUCGAACGCCCCGCAAGGGGAGUGGCAGACGGGUGAGUAACGCGUGGGAAUCUACCCAGUUCUACGGAACAACACAGGGAAACUUGUGCUAAUACCGUAUACGCCCCAAGGGGGAAAGAUUUAUCGGAAUUGGGUGAGCCCGCGUUGGAUUAGCUAGUUGGUGAGGUAAUGGCUCACCAAGGCGACGAUCCAUAGCUGGUCUGAGAGGAUGAUCAGCCACACUGGGACUGAGACACGGCCCAGACUCCUACGGGAGGCAGCAGUGGGGAAUAUUGGACAAUGGGCGCAAGCCUGAUCCAGCCAUGCCGCGUGAGUGAUGAAGGCCUUAGGGUUGUAAAGCUCUUUCAGUGGGGAAGAUAAUGACGGUACCCACAGAAGAAGCCCCGGCUAACUUCGUG